CCUACGGGUGGCAGCAGUGGGGAAUAUUGCACAAUGGGGGAAACCCUGAUGCAGCGACGCCGCGUGAGUGAAGAAGUAAUUCGUUACGUAAAGCUCUAUCAGCAGGGAAGAAAAUGACGGUACCUGAGUAAGAAGCCCCGGCUAACUACGUGCCAGCAGCCGCGGUAAUACGUAGGGGGCACGCGUGAUCCGGCUUUAUUGGGUUUAAAGGGUGCGCAGGCGGAGGUGCAAGUCAGCGGUCAAGUUGCGGGGCUCAACCCCGUACUGACGUUGAAACUGCAUCCCUUGAGUGCGCGAGAAGUAUGCGGAAUGCGUGGUGUAGCGGUGAAAUGCAUAGAUAUCACGCAGAACUCCGAUUGCGAAGGCAGCAUACCGGCGCGCAACUGACGCUCAUGCACGAAAGCGUGGGUAUCGAACAGGAUUAGAUACCCGAGUAGUC
This 439-nucleotide ribosomal RNA is filed under the name uncultured bacterium. RNAcentral's name for it is "partial 16S ribosomal RNA". It matches the Rfam family "Bacterial small subunit ribosomal RNA", at positions 338 to 795 of the family's 1533-position model. The record is from RNAcentral.